AUAUUUCCAAAGUACAUACAAUAAAAUUGGAUCGAUAGAGAGAAGAUUAGCAUGGCCCCUGCGCAAAGAUGACACUCAAGAUCGUUAAGCGUUCCCCAUUUUC
Molecule: small nuclear RNA, 103 nt
Organism: Rhipicephalus microplus (southern cattle tick)
Lineage: Eukaryota; Metazoa; Arthropoda; Arachnida; Ixodida; Ixodidae
Source: RefSeq, a predicted model, not a curated record